AACGAACGCUGGCGGCGCGCCUAAUACAUGCAAGUCGAGCGAGAAGGUGUAGCAAUACACUUGUAAAGCGGCGAACGGGUGAGGAAUACAUGGGUAAUCUACCAUCGAGUGGGGAAUAACCAACCGAAAGGUUGGCUAAUACCGCGUACGCCUCCGAGUCUUCGGGUUCGGAGGGAAAGCUGCACUGUGAGUGUAGCGCUCUUUGAUGAGCUCAUGUCCUAUCAGCUUGUUGGUAGGGUAACGGCCUACCAAGGCUUUGACGGGUAGCUGGUCUGAGAGGACGAUCAGCCACACUGGCACUGCGACACGGGCCAGACUCCUACGGGAGGCAGCAGUAAGGAAUAUUGCGCAAUGGGCGAAAGCCUGACGCAGCGACGCCGCGUGGGGAUGAAGGUCUUCGGAUUGUAAACCCCUUUCGGGAGGGAAGAUGGAACGAGCAAUCGUUCGGACGGUACCUCCAGAAGCAGCCACGGCCAACUUCGUGCCAGCAG
Molecule: ribosomal RNA, 491 nt
Filed under: uncultured bacterium
Lineage: Bacteria
Description: bacterial SSU rRNA
Rfam family: Bacterial small subunit ribosomal RNA
Source: RNAcentral